This 1286-nucleotide ribosomal RNA is filed under the name uncultured bacterium. RNAcentral's name for it is "bacterial SSU rRNA". It matches the Rfam family "Bacterial small subunit ribosomal RNA", at positions 93 to 1399 of the family's 1533-position model. The record is from RNAcentral.
GAGCGGCGGACGGGUGAGUAACGCGUGGGUGACCUGCCCCAUACCGGGGGAUAACAGCUGGAAACGGCUGCUAAUACCGCAUAAGCGCACAGAGCUGCAUAGCUCAGUGUGAAAAACUCCGGUGGUAUGGGAUGGGCCCGCGUCUGAUUAGGCAGUUGGCGGGGUAACGGCCCACCAAACCGACGAUCAGUAGCCGGCCUGAGAGGGCGACCGGCCAGAUUGGGACUGAGACACGGCCCAGACUCCUACGGGAGGCAGCAGUGGGGAAUCUUGCGCAAUGGGGGGAACCCUGACGCAGCGACGCCGCGUGCGGGACGGAGGCCUUCGGGUCGUAAACCGCUUUCAGCAGGGAAGAGUCAAGACUGUACCUGCAGAAGAAGCCCCGGCUAACUACGUGCCAGCAGCCGCGGUAAUACGUAGGGGGCGAGCGUUAUCCGGAUUCAUUGGGCGUAAAGCGCGCGUAGGCGGCCCGGCAGGCCGGGGGUCGAAGCGGGGGGCUCAACCCCCCGAAGCCCCCGGAACCUCCGCGGCUUGGGUCCGGUAGGGGAGGGUGGAACACCCGGUGUAGCGGUGGAAUGCGCAGAUAUCGGGUGGAACACCGGUGGCGAAGGCGGCCCUCUGGGCCGAGACCGACGCUGAGGCGCGAAAGCUGGGGGAGCGAACAGGAUUAGAUACCCUGGUAGUCCCAGCCGUAAACGAUGGACGCUAGGUGUGGGGGGACGAUCCCCCCGUGCCGCAGCCAACGCAUUAAGCGUCCCGCCUGGGGAGUACGGCCGCAAGGCUAAAACUCAAAGGAAUUGACGGGGGCCCGCACAAGCAGCGGAGCAUGUGGCUUAAUUCGAAGCAACGCGAAGAACCUUACCAAGUCUUGACAUCCUUCUGACCGGUACUUAAUCGUACCUUCUCUUCGGAGCAGGAGUGACAGGUGGUGCAUGGUUGUCGUCAGCUCGUGUCGUGAGAUGUUGGGUUAAGUCCCGCAACGAGCGCAACCCUUAUCUUUAGUAGCCAGCGGUCCGGCCGGGCACUCUAGAGAGACUGCCAGGGAUAACCUGGAGGAAGGCGGGGAUGACGUCAAAUCAUCAUGCCCCUUAUGACUUGGGCUACACACGUGCUACAAUGGCGUAAACAAAGGGAAGCAAAGCUGUGAAGCCGAGCAAAUCUCAAAAAUAACGUCUCAGUUCGGACUGUAGUCUGCAACCCGACUACACGAAGCUGGAAUCGCUAGUAAUCGCAGAUCAGAAUGCUGCGGUGAAUACGUUCCCGGGUCUUGCACACACCGCCCGUCA